This 1432-nucleotide ribosomal RNA is filed under the name uncultured Bordetella sp. RNAcentral's name for it is "partial 16S-23S ribosomal RNA intergenic spacer". It matches the Rfam family "Bacterial small subunit ribosomal RNA". The record is from RNAcentral. Lineage: Bacteria; Pseudomonadati; Pseudomonadota; Betaproteobacteria; Burkholderiales; Alcaligenaceae.
UAUGGCUCAGAUUGAACGCUGGCGGGAUGCUUUACACAUGCAAGUCGAACGGCAGCACGGACUUCGGUCUGGUGGUGAGGCGAACGGGUGAGUAAUGUAUCGGAACGUGCCUAGUAGCGGGGGAUAACUACGCGAAAGCGUAGCUAAUACCGCAUACACCUUCAAAGCGGGGGGACUCGGGCCUGCACUAUUAGAGCGGCCGAUAAUGAUUAGCUAGUUGGUGGGGUAACGGCUCACUAAGGCGACGAUCCAGCUGGCUCGAGAGACGACCAGCCACACUGGGACUGAGACACGGCCCAGACUCCAGCGGAGGCAGUGGGGAAUUUGGACAAUGGGGGAAACCUCGAUCCAGCCAUUCCGCGAAGAUGAAGGCCUUCGGUUAAAGCACUUUUGGCAGGGAAAGAAACGGCACGGAUAAUACCCCGCAACUGACGGUACCUGGCAGGACAAGCACCGGCUAACUACGUGCCAGCAGCCGCGGUAAUACGUAGGGUGCAAGCGUUAAUCGGAAUUACUGGGCGGAAGGUGCGUUGUGUUCGGAAAGGAAAGAUGUGAAAUCCCAGAGCUUAACUUUGGAACUGCAUUUUUUAACUACCGGUUUAGAGUGUGUCAGGAGGGAGGUGGAAUUCGCGUGUAGCAGUGAAAUGCGUAGAUAUGCGGAGGAACACCGAUGGCGAAGGCAGCCUCCUGGGAUAACACUCUGACGCUCAUGCACGAAAGCGUGGGGAGCAAACAGGAUUAGACAUCUUAGAAGUCCACGCCUAAACGAUGUCAACUAGCUGUUGGGGCCUUCGGGCCUAGUAGCGCAGCUAACGCGGAAGUUGACCGCCUGGGAGGUAAUGGUCGCAAGAUUAAACCCAGCGGAAUUGACGGGACCCGCACAAGCGGUGGAUGAUGUGGAUUAAUUCGAUGCAACGCGAAAACCUUACCUACCCUUGAUGUCUGGAAUCCCGAAGAGAUUUGGGAGUGCUCGCAAGAGAACCGGAACACAGGUGCUGCAUGGCUGUCGUCAGCUCGUGUCGAGAUGUUGGGUUAAGUCCCGUAACGAGCGCAACCUGUCAUUAGUUGCUACGAAAGGGCACCGACGAGACUGCCGGUGACAAACCGGAGGAAGGGGAUGACGUCAAGUCCUCAUGGCCCUUAUGGGUAGGGCUUCACACGUCAUACAAUGGUCGGGAGGGUCGCCAACCCGCGAGGGGAGUCAACUGCAGAAACCCGAUCGUAGUCCGGAUCGCAGUCUGCAACUCGACUGCGUGAAGUCGAAUCGCUAGUAAUCUGUGACCAGCAUGUCGCGUAAAUACGUUCCCGGGUCUUGUACACACCGCCCGUCACACCAAGGGGAGUGGGUUUUACUCAGAAUAGUUAGCUCAACCGUAAGGAGGGCGAUUACCACGGUAGGAUUCACACUGGGGUGAAGUCGUAACAAGGUAGC